RNAcentral lists this ribosomal RNA (478 nucleotides) under uncultured bacterium. RNAcentral's name for it is "partial 16S ribosomal RNA". It matches the Rfam family "Bacterial small subunit ribosomal RNA", at positions 28 to 507 of the family's 1533-position model. The record is from RNAcentral.
GAUGAACGCUGGCGGCGUGCCUAAUACAUGCAAGUCGAGCGAACAGAUGAGGAGCUUGCUCCUCUGACGUUAGCGGCGGACGGGUGAGUAACACGUGGAUAACCUACCUAUAAGACUGGGAUAACUUCGGGAAACCGGAGCUAAUACCGGAUAAUAUAUUGAACCGCAUGGUUCAAUAGUGAAAGACGGUUUUGCUGUCACUUAUAGAUGGAUCCGCGCCGCAUUAGCUAGUUGGUAGGGUAACGGCCUACCAAGGCAACGAUGCGUAGCCGACCUGAGAGGGUGGACGGCAACAUGGGGACUGAGAGACGGCCCAGACUCCUACGGGAGGCAGCAGUGGGGAAUAUUGCACAAUCGGCGCAAGCCUGAUGCAGCGACGCCGCGGGGGGGAUGACGGCCUUCGGGUUGUAAAUUCCUUUCGCUAGGGACGAAGCUUUUUGUGACGGUACCUAGAGAAGAAGCACCGGCUAACUACGUG